RNAcentral lists this ribosomal RNA (428 nucleotides) under uncultured archaeon. RNAcentral describes it as "bacterial SSU rRNA". It matches the Rfam family "Archaeal small subunit ribosomal RNA", at positions 474 to 903 of the family's 1478-position model. The record is from RNAcentral.
UACCAGCUCUCCGAGUGGUAGGGAUGAUUAUUGGGCUUAAAGCGUCCGUAGCCGGCUUAGCAAGUUUCCUGUUAAACUCUGCGACUUAAUCGUUGAAUCGCGGGAAAUACUACUAGGCUAGGAGGCGGGAGAGGUCAACGGUACUUCUGGGGUAGGGUGAAAUCCUAUAAUCCCGGGAGGACCACCAGUGGCGAAGGCUGUUGACUAGAACGCGCUCGACGGUGAGGGACGAAAGCUGGGGGAGCGAACCGGAUUAGAUACCCGGGUAGUCCCAGCUGUAAACGAUGCGGGCUAGGUGUUGGGAUGGCUACGUGCCAUUUCAGUGCCGCAGGGAAGCCAUUAAGCCCGCCGCCUGGGGAGUACGGCCGCAAGGCUGAAACUUAAAGGAAUUGGCGGGGGAGCACCACAAGGCGUGAAGCUUGCGGUUC